UCCCAACCAGCGCCUCUCUCCUUCCCCGUCUGGAAUGACAGCAGCAGAGCGACGCAACAGAGCAUGUGGCGUCCGACGGUGGUUCCCGGUGAGGCAGCCUCCAAUCGUGACCUUCCUUUUCCCCUUCUCCUUUCCGGCGGUGGCAAUGAAGCGUAGCAGCGGUGAACAGGGAGUGUAGGUUACUUAUUGUGGACUAGCUUUUGAGUUGAGCCUAGAAUUGGAUGUUGCUUUGGAGCUUAGCUUGAGGAUCUGGACUUAUGGCUAGUUGAGAGCGUGUCGUAGAACUUGUAAGCCCUGAGAAAUGUUCAUGUCAUAGUUUGUGUAGUUUGGACUUGGAUUGUCUUGUAGUUAGUUGUGAUUUGAAUAAAGGAAUAUUGUAAUGGAAGUUGUAAAUAGAAACCUUUGUAGCCUGUGCGUUUGGGCUUAGUUGUGACCCAAGCGUGGCAUAACAUCCCGUAAUUUGGUUUUUUUGAGUUUGCUUCCGCAAUUGAAAUCUUUUAGAAAUCUAUAUUAUAUC
Long non-coding RNA from Ipomoea triloba (trilobed morning glory), 517 nucleotides. RefSeq lists it as uncharacterized. The transcript is spliced from 3 exons. The record is from RefSeq and is a predicted model, not a curated record. NCBI's taxonomy places the organism in Eukaryota, Viridiplantae, Streptophyta, Magnoliopsida, Solanales, Convolvulaceae.